AUACAUGCAAGUCGAACGCUUUGUGGUUCAACUGAUUUGAAGAGCUUGCUCAGAUAUGACGAUGGACAUUGCAAAGAGUGGCGAACGGGUGAGUAACACGUGGGAAACCUACCUCUUAGCAGGGGAUAACAUUUGGAAACAGAUGCUAAUACCGUAUAACAAUGACAACCGCAUGGUUGUUAUUUAAAAGAUGGUUCUGCUAUCACUAAGAGAUGGUCCCGCGGUGCAUUAGCUAGUUGGUAAGGUAAUGGCUUACCAAGGCGAUGAUGCAUAGCCGAGUUGAGAGACUGAUCGGCCACAAUGGGACUGAGACACGGCCCAUACUCCUACGGGAGGCAGCAGUAGGGAAUCUUCCACAAUGGGCGAAAGCCUGAUGGAGCAACGCCGCGUGUGUGAUGAAGGGUUUCGGCUCGUAAAACACUGUUGUAAGAGAAGAAUGACAUUGAGAGUAACUGUUCAAUGUGUGACGGUAUCUUACCAGAAAGGAACGGCUAAAUACGUGCCAGCAGCCGCGGUAAUACGUAUGUUCCAAGCGUUAUCGGGAUUUAUUGGGCGUAAAGCGAGCGCAGACGGUUAUUUAAGUCUGAAGUGAAAGCUCUCAGCUCAACUGAGGAAUUGCUUUGGAAACUGGAUGACUUGAGUGCAGUAGAGGAAAGUGGAACUCCAUGUGUAGCGGUGAAAUGCGUAGAUAUAUGGAAGAACACCAGUGGCGAAGGCGGCUUUCUGGACUGUAACUGACGUUGAGGCUCGAAAGUGUGGGUAGCAAACAGGAUUAGAUACCCUGGUAGUCCACACCGUAAACGAUGAGUGCUAGGUGUUUGAGGGUUUCCGCCCUUAAGUGCCGCAGCUAACGCAUUAAGCACUCCGCCUGGGGAGUACGACCGCAAGGUUGAAACUCAAAGGAAUUGACGGGGACCCGCACAAGCGGUGGAGCAUGUGGUUUAAUUCGAAGCAACGCGAAGAACCUUACCAGGUCUUGACAUCCCUUGACAACUCCAGAGAUGGAGCGUUCCCUUCGGGGACAAGGUGACAGGUGGUGCAUGGUUGUCGUCAGCUCGUGUCGUGAGAUGUUGGGUUAAGUCCCGCAACGAGCGCAACCCUUAUUACUAGUUGCCAGCAUUCAGUUGGGCACUCUAGUGAGACUGCCGGUGACAAACCGGAGGAAGGUGGGGAUGACGUCAAAUCAUCAUGCCCCUUAUGACCUGGGCUACACACGUGCUACAAUGGCGUAUACAACGAGUUGCCAACCCGCGAGGGUGAGCUAAUCUCUUAAAGUACGUCUCAGUUCGGAUUGUAGGCUGCAACUCGCCUACAUGAAGUCGGAAUCGCUAGUAAUCGCGGAUCAGCACGCCGCGGUGAAUACGUUCCCGGGUCUUGUACACACCGCCCGUCACACCAUGAGAGUUUGUAACACCCAAAGCCGGUGGGGUAACCUUCGGGAGCCAGCCGUCUAA
This 1454-nucleotide ribosomal RNA is filed under the name Weissella confusa. RNAcentral describes it as "16S ribosomal RNA". It matches the Rfam family "Bacterial small subunit ribosomal RNA". Lineage: Bacteria; Bacillati; Bacillota; Bacilli; Lactobacillales; Lactobacillaceae. The record is from RNAcentral.